This 467-nucleotide ribosomal RNA is filed under the name Pseudothelphusa doenitzi. Its description in RNAcentral is "partial large subunit ribosomal RNA". It matches the Rfam family "Archaeal large subunit ribosomal RNA", at positions 1950 to 2639 of the family's 2987-position model. The record is from RNAcentral. Lineage: Eukaryota; Metazoa; Arthropoda; Malacostraca; Decapoda; Pseudothelphusidae.
CCUGCCCACUGAUAUAGGUUUAAUGGCCGCGGUAUUAUGACCGUGCAAAGGUAGCAUAAUCAUUAGUCUUUUAAUUUAAGACUUGAAUGAAUGGUUGGACAAAAGAAAAACUGUCUUCUUUAAUAAAAAUUGAAUUUAACUUUUAAGUGAGAAGGCUUAAAUAUUUCAAAGGGACGAUAAGACCCUAUAAAGCUUUAUAAAAAAUAAAAGUUAGGUUGAUAUUUAUUUAUUAAAAAUUAAGGUUUAUAUUUUAUUAGGUUGGGGCAACAGAGGUAUAAUUAUAAAUAACUGCUUUAUUUAUAAACAAAUAUAUUUGUAUUUAAGUUAAUUGAUCCUUAUUUAAAGAUUUAAAGAUUAAGUUACUUUAGGGAUAACAGCGUUAUUUUUUUUGAGAGUUCUUAUCAAAAAAAGAGUUUGCGACCUCGAUGUUGAAUUAAAAUUUCUAUAUAGUGCAGUUGUUAUAUAAG